UAUGAUUAAUCAAGACUAAGUUGUGUUUAAUUAAGCUAAUGAGUAAAUAUGCAUUAAGUUAAUUCUAUUUAUGAUUCAAUUAUAGAAUUGUCUAGAAAGUGCUAGUGCGUAUACGUGUUCUACUGCCAAAGAGGUGCAUGUGUGUGUAUAACUAAUGAGUUCAAAAGUGUUUGGGUUAGCAUUUAUUUGAUAUGUGCUUAGAGAACUCUAGAGGCAGAGAGAACCGAGAGAGAGAGAGAGAGAGAGCUCAACUCUUUGUGAACAAGAACCCAUGUUGCUGGAAUUUUGAAGCUAGCUCAAGAGAUGGACUAAAGGAAAAAGAGAGGAAGCAAGAGGAAGUGAAAAAUUAGGAAGAAGGCUCAAGAAUUCAACAACAUUAGGUUAGACGCCGCACUGUGAUCACAUGUUUCAAGGAGCCAACUGUGAUCAAGUGCAAGAGUGGACUUAAUGGGCGUCAACCUAAACUUUGUUUUGUCAAGCCAACUUUUGUGCCUCACUUUGAGGUCUUUACUAAGACAAGCUUCAAGGCUUCAUGGGUGGUUUAGAGUUCACCCUUUUGUUUUGAACGUUACUGAGACUAGUUCUGAAUGUUAUCAUAUCUGAAGUUAAGACUGGUUUUGUUAAUGGGAUUUAAUCCCUAAUUAUGUUGUGUUUUUGUACAUAAGCUUGAUGCUUGGACUGAUGUGUAUAUACAUAUAUGAAAGUUGUUUUGUUACAUUUAA
Molecule: non-coding RNA, 722 nt
Organism: Camellia sinensis
Lineage: Eukaryota; Viridiplantae; Streptophyta; Magnoliopsida; Ericales; Theaceae
Source: RefSeq, a predicted model, not a curated record